AUACGGAGGAUGCAAGCGUUAUCCGGAUUUAUUGGGUUUAAAGGGUGCGUAGGCGGUUUGCUAAGCGGGAGGUGAAAUGCCGGCGCUCAACGUCGGAAGUGCCUCCCGAACUGAUGGACUUGAAUGACUCUGCCGUGGGAGGAAUGUGUAGUGUAGCGGUGAAAUGCUUAGAGAUUACACAGAACACCGAUUGCGAAGGCAUCUCACGAAGGGUUGAUUGACGCUGAGGCACGAAAGCGUGGGGAUCAAACAGGAUUAGAUACCCUGGUAGUCCACGCAGUAAACGAUGAUGGCUAACCGCUGGGCUUAUCAGUUCAGUGGCCAAGCGAAAGCGGUAAGCCAUCCACCUGGGGAGUACGACCGCAAGGUUGAAACUCAAAUGAAUUGACGGG
RNAcentral lists this ribosomal RNA (392 nucleotides) under uncultured bacterium. Its description in RNAcentral is "partial 16S ribosomal RNA". It matches the Rfam family "Bacterial small subunit ribosomal RNA", at positions 523 to 917 of the family's 1533-position model. The record is from RNAcentral.